AUGAUACGGCCAUCCAUUUCCACUUAUCUGCUGGACAACGAACAUCCUUACAUCUUUUUUGCCCGCAAGGAAAGAUCUGUGGUGUAUCAGAAGCCUGGUAUUCCAUUUCCGAGCCAGGCGACAGAGCUAGUUCACGGUGCCUCGACACUCAAAGUGCCUCUGAAACGUGAAGUGAUCUUGCAGAUAACUGCUGGUGGGGAGAAGACGUGGAAAAUGCAAUGGACUACACGACAUGAGAUGCUGCCACUAAUUAAGCUGCAUAUACGUACUGUUAUUAUGAAGCUGAGACUUCACGUUCAGCUUCCAAGUUCUCUGCUGGCUGGUGGCCUCUGA
This 333-nucleotide ribosomal RNA is filed under the name Triticum aestivum (bread wheat). RNAcentral's name for it is "partial small subunit ribosomal RNA". Lineage: Eukaryota; Viridiplantae; Streptophyta; Magnoliopsida; Poales; Poaceae. The record is from RNAcentral.